Non-coding RNA from Zootermopsis nevadensis, 751 nucleotides. The record is from RefSeq and is a predicted model, not a curated record. NCBI's taxonomy places the organism in Eukaryota, Metazoa, Arthropoda, Insecta, Blattodea, Termopsidae.
CGCCAAUCUUGUGGGUCUUGUGAUGUGAUAUGAAAUAAUUUACGUGUAAAACAGGAAUAUUACAGCUGAAUCCAAUUGAUCUGUUGGUGGUAAAGAAGAAAAUAAGGGUGAAGCACCCUAGUGGUGACCUCUGACCCGCCACGCUUCCAUCUCCAGGGUUGGGUCAGUCAUCCUAGGCGUUCUUCUUAUACUGCAGGAAGUGUGCUUGUCGGAAAGUCCCAGGAUAGGAUUACGAGGUCUCAUCAAAGAGGCGUACCUGACGUGUGAGAAAUUGGAACGUGGAGAUCGUGGUGGUUGCUGACAGAAUCGGCGACGAGGGUAAAGACCGCUUCAUCGUUAUUCUACGACACUGAAUCAUCUGACGACGACUGCUGCCUGUCCAGUGUACCGCGGUCUUCGGUGUUAAGCCCACGGACUUCACAGGAACAAGAAAGAUGCUGUGUGUGUGUGUCUGUACGUACCCCGCAAGCCUCAUUGAACGAGGCUCUCCUGUGCUCUGCUGCUAGAAAUUUCAAGACGUCACUCAGAUGUAUAUAUUGCCAUGCUGUCUUCAUCGUCUGGGUUCUAUCAAUAUACCAGCUCAUUUGCCGUGGACGAUUUAACAGUGCCGUAUGGUGAGUACAUUUGUAGCCUUUGUUUUGAGUGCAUGCGUAAAUAAUUUCCUUUAAGUGCGUGAUAAAUGUAAGUACUAAUUCUGGAUAUCUUAUUAUUGUUAGAUUAUACGUUAGAGCUGAUUGUUGCUGAAGUUCUC